CGGGAUGUAGCUCAGCUUGGAAGAGCACAGGCAUGGGGUGUCUGGAGUCGCAGGUUCAAAUCCUGUCAUCCCGACCA
This 77-nucleotide transfer RNA is filed under the name Salibacterium salarium. RNAcentral describes it as "tRNA-Pro". It matches the Rfam family "tRNA". Rfam says of the family: Transfer RNA (tRNA) molecules are approximately 80 nucleotides in length. The record is from RNAcentral. Lineage: Bacteria; Bacillati; Bacillota; Bacilli; Caryophanales; Bacillaceae.